AUCAGAGCGUGGUUGAAAGUAUGUAAAGUGUUGUAGGAAAAAUUUUGCAAAAGAUUUAAUGACUGGAGAAUUUCAGGAAAAGUAUCAAAAGUCAUAGGUACUUCCUUUAUUUCCCAAAUUCCCAUUUUUUUGUUUUCUUUUAAUUUCAAUAUGCACAUACAUUUAGUAUAUUAAGAACAUUCAAGUCAGGAGCCUGUGAUUCAGUGGUUGUCGUUUGUUUAUGUCUAAGCC
This 231-nucleotide long non-coding RNA is filed under the name Mytilus galloprovincialis (Mediterranean mussel). Lineage: Eukaryota; Metazoa; Mollusca; Bivalvia; Mytilida; Mytilidae. The record is from RNAcentral.